Pezoporus flaviventris is the source of this 1628-nucleotide long non-coding RNA. RefSeq lists it as uncharacterized. The record is from RefSeq and is a predicted model, not a curated record. NCBI's taxonomy places the organism in Eukaryota, Metazoa, Chordata, Aves, Psittaciformes, Psittacidae. The transcript is spliced from 3 exons.
AAUUCUUUAUGUUAGUUCACUGGUUUCUCUGUGCAUUAUAGAUUAUUUUUGUCCAGCAAGCAGUGCACACACCACCUCUCAGUGCCAUUUGUAUACAGCAUGUCAUGUGUGUUGUCCCGGUACCUGUCUCAUAAGACAGGAAAGGCAGGAGCCGUGUUUCUCGUUUUAAGUGUGGUGCUGAAUAUACAAAGCACAUAAAACUCUAGAGACAAAGGGAAAAUGAACAAGAAACCGUGGUCACUGAUUCAUGGCUCUGUGCGAGCCCCCUUCUGCAGAACUCCCAUCAAAAGUCAGUAUUUCUGUGCAUCCAGUGCUGGCAGGGCCAGUCCUUUAAAACCAGAUAGUCCUCAGCUUCCUGGUACAGUAUUUACGACAGUGGUGGGGUGAGUUCGCCCACAUUUCAAGGCAGAAUGUGUUCAUCUCUACUUUUUCCUGGCUUUUAUUCACCAAAAAAACACAUUAGCAGACCCGUGUUACUAGCUGCUUCCUGCUUCUGUUGCUUAGUGUUUUGUCGCUACCACGGCUGGCCAACAAGCCGUAAAUCUUGCCUGGUGUUUUGUAACAAAGGAAAAAAUAGAAUGAUUUGUGUUGACUUUUGGUCAUCGUGUAUCAUAAUUGAUUUGAGGGCGGGCGGUGGAGGAAAGCAUACUGUGUUAUUUGUUGCUCGCCAGUUCUCCGGGAAGGCGGUGUUAGCAGGCAGUCAGUAGAGGGCAAUAGAGAAAUACAGUUUGUGGUACCUAAAGGAUUUGAAGCACGGAUUAUGUGUUUACAGAAAAGAAAAAGAAGAAAAGAAGAGCCAGGAGGAUAGGUUGUUCAGUUUACUACUGGAGACCUGACUGUGACAGACCACCAACACAAAAUUUUGAAGGAGAGCAAAGACAACCUUCUGCAGCAUCCACGACUCUCUCCUGUUUUCUUUGGAGUUAUGCAGGAUAACUUAGCCAGAACUUACUGAUGACUGCAUAUUCAGUGGGCUCGGGAAUGGACUGGGAGAUGCGGGAAGGCACUCUUUGGGAGGAACAGAAGAGGAGGCAUUUCAAAGAUCCUGCAGGUGAAUGAGGUGAUGAUCUGCUGUCAGAAUAAAUAAAUCUUACAAAGUGCUGAGACUGCUCAGCCUUUUGCUGUGGUAUCGCUUCCACGUGAGGGACCUGUAUUAUCAUCUUUCUUCAAGUAUCUUCUCUCCUGUGCUACAGGGUUCAUUAUUUUGCAGAGGAUGGGUCUUUCUGCCCUACAGGGAUCUAUCUAUCACUGCUGACUCUCUGCAUCUUCUCCACAGGGAAGAAGUAAUUGGAUUGUACUUUCUGCACGUGAUGAGAGCUGUAGGCUGGAGAACUAAGCUGUCAAGAGGGUAGGAAACCAUAUGAUGCCUAAGAAAACUAAAUGUGUGAGUGUAACUGCAAGACCUUUCCUUUCUUUCCAUAGAAGAGCUGGAACAUGCUGAACUGCACUCACCAAACUGCACUAGAACUUUGGGAAGGUCCGUGAAGCUUUAAGGAAGCAGAGAAAAACAUAACCACCCAAAUAAUCCCAGGGGCAUUAAAUGUCUGUGAAUAUAUAACACAAUAAGCCAUACUAUGAAUAUGAACAGCUAGGGACAUUUCUUAAAAAUAAAGAAACAUUACUGCAAA